UAUUUGUUGUAGACGGAAACUUCGUAGGAGGCGAAUUUUAGUUGAUAUUGCUAUACUUGAGACGCGUUCGAGGUUGGUGAAAGGGACUACGUUGCAGGAAUGAGUGAAUUUAUAGUUUUUAAGUUCACCUAGUUUAAUAAACACUACAGUACUGUCAUUUGAGAUUGUUUAGUUUUGUUUUGGUAUAAAGUAGACAACUUAGUUUGGUUUAUUUUGAUA
Long non-coding RNA from Beta vulgaris subsp. vulgaris (sugar beet), 219 nucleotides. RefSeq lists it as uncharacterized. The transcript has 2 exons. Lineage: Eukaryota; Viridiplantae; Streptophyta; Magnoliopsida; Caryophyllales; Amaranthaceae. The record is from RefSeq and is a predicted model, not a curated record.